Molecule: unclassified non-coding RNA, 334 nt
Filed under: uncultured Diversisporales
Lineage: Eukaryota; Fungi; Glomeromycota; Glomeromycetes; Diversisporales
Description: sequence contains 18S rRNA gene
Source: RNAcentral
CCCAACUAUCCCUAUUAAUCAUUACGGUGGUCCUAGACCAACAAAAUAGAACCAUGCGUCCUAUUUCAUUAUUCCAUGCUAAUGUAUUCAGGCACUAGCCUGCUUUAAGCACUCUAAUUUUUUCAAGGUAACAGUCCUGCUUCCCCAACGCACCAAAUUAAUGGCAUGCUGGUUAUUCAGAAGGUAGGAAUCCAUCGCACCAGUACGGACCGAAAAAGCCCGACCAAUGGAUAAACCCCGAAAUUCAACUACGAGCUUUUUAACUGCAACAACUUUAAUAUACGCUAUUGGAGCUGGAAUUACCGCGGCUGCUGGCACCAGACUUGCCCUCCAA